Malania oleifera is the source of this 107-nucleotide small nucleolar RNA. The record is from RefSeq and is a predicted model, not a curated record. Lineage: Eukaryota; Viridiplantae; Streptophyta; Magnoliopsida; Santalales; Ximeniaceae.
AACUUGAUGAUGUGGGAAUUUACGGAGUAGGCCCCUGAAGCGUUCCUAGGUCUCAAAGAAAAGUUUCCCAUCCAUCUGUGUGAAACUUGUGAUUACCCUUCGCAGCU